This 253-nucleotide ribosomal RNA is filed under the name uncultured bacterium. RNAcentral's name for it is "partial 16S ribosomal RNA". It matches the Rfam family "Bacterial small subunit ribosomal RNA", at positions 524 to 776 of the family's 1533-position model. The record is from RNAcentral.
UACGAAGGGGGCUAGCGUUGUUCGGAAUUACUGGGCGUAAAGCGCGCGCAGGCGGUUCUUCAAGUCAGAGGUGAAAGCCCAGAGCUCAACUCUGGAAUGGCCUUUGAGACUAGAGAACUUGGGUACGGGAGAGGUGAGUGGAAUUCCGAGUGUAGAGGUGAAAUUCGUAGAUAUUCGGAAGAACACCAGUGGCGAAGGCGGCUCACUGGCCCGUUACCGACGCUCAGGCGCGACAGCGUGGGGAGCAAACAGG